RNAcentral lists this ribosomal RNA (253 nucleotides) under uncultured bacterium. RNAcentral's name for it is "partial 16S ribosomal RNA". It matches the Rfam family "Bacterial small subunit ribosomal RNA", at positions 524 to 776 of the family's 1533-position model. The record is from RNAcentral.
UACGGGGGGGGCAAGCGUUGUCCGGAAUCACUGGGCGUAAAGGGCUCGUCGGCGGCCAACUAAGUCCGACGUGAAAUCCCCAGGCUUAACCUGGGAACUGCGUCGGAUACUGGAUGGCUUGAAUUCGGGAGAGGGAUGCAGAAUUCCAGGUGUAGCGGUGAAAUGCGUAGAUAUCUGGAGGAAUACCGGUGGCGAAGGCGGCAUCCUGGACCGACAUUGACGCUGAUGAGCGAAAGCUAGGGGAGCAAACGGG